This 253-nucleotide ribosomal RNA is filed under the name uncultured bacterium. RNAcentral's name for it is "partial 16S ribosomal RNA". It matches the Rfam family "Bacterial small subunit ribosomal RNA", at positions 524 to 776 of the family's 1533-position model. The record is from RNAcentral.
UACGUAGGGGGCAAGCGUUGUCCGGAAUCAUUGGGCGUAAAGCGCGUGUAGGCGGCUUGGUAAGUCCGCUCUGAAAGCCCGGGGCUCAACCCCGGGAGGCGGGUGGAUACUGUCAAGCUCGAGUCCGGAAGAGGCGAGUGGAAUUCCCGGUGUAGCGGUGAAAUGCGCAGAUAUCAGGAGGAACACCAAUUGCGAAGGCAGCUCGCUGGGACGUUACUGACGCUGAGACGCGAAAGCGUGGGGAGCAAACAGG